Long non-coding RNA from Sander lucioperca (pikeperch), 403 nucleotides. RefSeq lists it as uncharacterized. The record is from RefSeq and is a predicted model, not a curated record. The transcript is spliced from 2 exons. NCBI's taxonomy places the organism in Eukaryota, Metazoa, Chordata, Actinopteri, Perciformes, Percidae.
UCAUUAAACCAGUGGACUAUAUGAAUUAUUAAUAGUUAUUAUGAAGUGUUAUUACAGUUGCAUUCUCCUCUUGUAUCACAGAAAGGUCCGACAAAAUAUACACUUUUAUUUUCUAUCUGGACAUUUUGGAUAAAAAGAUCAUCACCACUCAUGUCUGGUAGGUUUACCUUUGGACGGAGUCAGGCUAGCUGUUUCCAGUCUUUAUGCUAAGCUAGGCUAGCUGUUUCCCCCUGUUUCCACUCUUUAUGCUAAGCUAACAUCUACUCGAGGGAACUUCAUAUUUAGCGUACACACAUGAGAGUUGUCUCGAUCUGAACAAUAACUCUCAGAGAGAAAUCUAAUUAGUGUGUUAAUAUUUUAUCAGAUGUGUGGGCGCUGUUUAUAACAGAUAAUAUUCAGUAAA